AGCCUAUUAGCUCAAUUGGUAGAGCAGUGUGCUAUAGUGUACAUAGACUGUAGGUUCAAAUCCUACAUAGGCUU
Beta vulgaris subsp. vulgaris (sugar beet) is the source of this 74-nucleotide transfer RNA. It matches the Rfam family "tRNA". From Rfam's summary of the family: Transfer RNA (tRNA) molecules are approximately 80 nucleotides in length. Their secondary structure includes four short double-helical elements and three loops (D, anti-codon, and T loops). Lineage: Eukaryota; Viridiplantae; Streptophyta; Magnoliopsida; Caryophyllales; Amaranthaceae. The record is from Rfam.